GGCGGGACACGUGGUAUCCUGUCUGAAUAUGGGGGGACCAUCCUCCAAGGCUAAAUACUCCUGACUGACCGAUAGUGAACCAGUACCGUGAGGGAAAGGCGAAAAGAACCCCGGCGAGGGGAGUGAAAAAGAACCUGAAACCGUGUACGUACAAGCAGUGGGAGCACCCUUUGGGGUGUGACUGCGUACCUUUUGUAUAAUGGGUCAGCGACUUAUAUUCUGUAGCAAGGUUAACCGAAUAGGGGAGCCGGAGGGAAACCGAGUCUUAAUUGGGCGUUAAGUUGCAGGGUAUAGACCCGAAACCCGGUGAUCUAGCCAUGGGCAGGUUGAAGGUUGGGUAACACUAACUGGAGGACCGAACCGACUAAUGUUGAAAAAUUAGCGGAUGACCUGUGGCUGGGGGUGAAAGGCCAAUCAAACCGGGAGAUAGCUGGUUCUCCCCGAAAGCUAUUUAGGUAGCGCCUCGUGAAUUCAUCUCCGGGGGUAGAGCACUGUUUCGGCUAGGGGGCCAUCCCGGCUUACCAACCCGAUGCAAACUGCGAAUACCGGAGAAUGUUAUCACGGGAGACACACGGCGGGUGCUAACGUCCGUCGUGAAGAGGGAAACAACCCAGACCGCCAGCUAAGGUCCCAAAGUCAUGGUUAAGUGGGAAACGAUGUGGGAAGGCCCAGACAGCCAGGAUGUUGGCUUAGAAGCAGCCAUCAUUUAAAGAAAGCGUAAUAGCUCACUGGUCGAGUCGGCCUGCGCGGAAGAUGUAACGGGGCUAAACCAUGCACCGAAGCUGCGGCAGCGACGCUGAUGCGUUGUUGGGUA
RNAcentral lists this ribosomal RNA (814 nucleotides) under Salmonella enterica subsp. enterica serovar Nottingham. RNAcentral's name for it is "partial 23S ribosomal RNA". It matches the Rfam family "Bacterial large subunit ribosomal RNA", at positions 416 to 1230 of the family's 2925-position model. Lineage: Bacteria; Pseudomonadati; Pseudomonadota; Gammaproteobacteria; Enterobacterales; Enterobacteriaceae. The record is from RNAcentral.